UCCUAUAUUCAUCAUAAGGAC
Molecule: small nuclear RNA, 21 nt
Filed under: Arabidopsis thaliana (thale cress)
Lineage: Eukaryota; Viridiplantae; Streptophyta; Magnoliopsida; Brassicales; Brassicaceae
Description: snRNA_09695
Source: RNAcentral